This 465-nucleotide ribosomal RNA is filed under the name uncultured bacterium. RNAcentral describes it as "partial 16S ribosomal RNA". It matches the Rfam family "Bacterial small subunit ribosomal RNA", at positions 338 to 795 of the family's 1533-position model. The record is from RNAcentral.
CCUACGGGUGGCAGCAGUAGGGAAUCUUCCACAAUGGGCGAAAGCCUGAUGGAGCAACGCCGCGUGGGUGAAGAAGGUCUUCGGAUCGUAAAACCCUGUUGUUAGAGAAGAAAGUGCGUGAGAGUAACUGUUCACGUUUCGACGGUACCUAACCAGAAAGCCACGGCUAACUACGUGCCAGCAGCCGCGGUAAUACGUAGGUGGCAAGCGUUAUCCGGAUUGAUUGGGCGUAAAGGGCACGUAGGCGGUCGUUUAAGUCUGAUGUGAAAGCCUUCGGCUUAACCGGGGUAGUGCAUUGGAAACUGGGAGACUUGAGUGCAGGAGAGGGAAGUGGAACUCCAGGUGUAGCGGUGAAAUGCGUAGAUAUAUGGAAGAACACGAGUGGCGAAGGCGGCUCUCUGGUCUGUAACUGACGCUGAGGUUCGAAGGCGUGGGUAGCAAACAGGAUUAGAUACCCCAGUAGUC